GUUAAUUCUCGCCUCACUGCUGUCUGGUUUGCUCCCAGCAUGCAGCCUGUGCACGUGCAGAUGUGGAAGAUACCCGGAUAUGUUUUCAGCACCAUUUAGUAUGUGAGGAAGCACCUCACGGAUGGGAGAAAAGUGGAUUUCUAUGUCACCACUCAAGCCCAACAUGUUGGAGACAACACUUUUCUUUAGAAAAAACAACCCACCAAGACGGUACGAUGCCUGCCUUCAAGAGUGCAUGUGCAUGGAUGCUGUGUCACCAUGUGAUGCCAUCUGUCACAUUCUGAAACAACAAAAAAGACCUCACCAGAUGUGGCCCUUUCAUCUUGGACUUCCCAGCCUCCAGAACUGUGAGUCAAAUAAACUUCUAUUCUGUAUGAAUUACCCAAUCAGUGAUAAAUUCUGUUAUGUAGCACAAGAUAGACUAAGGAAGGUGUAUAACUUCUCCGAGAUCAUAUAACUCGCAAAAAGUACAAUCAGGCCUCAAACCCAGGUCUGUAUGAUAUUAAAGGCAAUGGUUUUAUUCUUGUUCUGAGAAUUCCUGAGACUGUCUACACUCUUGUUUGGUCUUUAGGGCUGGGGUUGAUUUGUGGGAAGCAAUGUCUAGAGAACAUGUUAGAAUAAAUUUCAUGAAAUUGCACA
RNAcentral lists this long non-coding RNA (639 nucleotides) under Oryctolagus cuniculus (rabbit). RNAcentral's name for it is "lncRNA (ENSOCUG00000036010.1)". The record is from RNAcentral. Lineage: Eukaryota; Metazoa; Chordata; Mammalia; Lagomorpha; Leporidae.